AGAGAGGGAGCCACCUUUACAGAUGGAGAUCUCCUUUACAAUGUAAAUGUCUCCUAACAAAGGGUAAGUAAAUUCUACUCCUCAGAGCCUCCUUCCCGUCUGCAGUUUUUAAAAGUAACCAGCCCAAAAUAAUCCUCAUCACAUUAUAAUCCAGCAGGAGCCUAGAACCCAACAAAAAUCUGCUUUGCUGCAGGAAUUUCUUGCUCCACAGGAGCCUGCACCACAGCAAUCACCUCCCACCCAAAGUGUGCCCUUUACUCAACAGGAAGCUGCCUUGCAGCACAGGCGUGGGCCAGGCAUAGAAUCUAGAAGUUAAUAGGAACCACACUUGAGAGAGGGAUGUGCAGCCCAGCCAGGACCUGGCCCAGGAGAGCCACCUCUAGCUCAGCGAGAAGCUGGAUCAACACCUUCAGCCCAGCCUAGACCUAGACCCCAAAAUGGACCACCGGUCAAGAUUGGAUUUAUGUCCCAAGAGAGACUAGGACAGUCAGACCCACAAGCCAGCCAACAGCUCCAGCCCAGGGAGCCAGACCCCAGCAGGCAUCUUUGAUGGAGUGGAGAUUUCUAUCAGAACUGCACCAACUAAUCUCACAGCAGCCGGCUUCAGAGGGGAAGACAUGUUUUGAGUAGGUCACAGAUCCAGUCUCAAAAUUAGACUUGGGGUCUCCGUUAGGCAUUGACUUGCCAGCUAUGAGGGGUAGGACAGUGGCCCAGGGAAUGAAGCUGGCUUUCAAGGGGAAGCCUGGUUAUGGAGUGAUGUCAGGAUAUGGUGGGACAUCAGCACACAGGAAGAACAGCCUCAGCCAGAAUCACAGACACUAUGGAGACACGGGCCUCCAGAACCCAGCGUCUAGGGACGCCCUCUCCACAGCGCCGCCACAGACCAAACCACCUCUGCCGGCGCCCAAGACGCAGUUGACUGUGUGCGCAUGCGCGGACCACGAACAUCAUCUCUGUCCGCCUUUCCCAGGCACGUGCCUUUCCCUCCUCCAGGCCUCCUCAGCUGACCAGGUUGAGGCUCCGGGCUAGUGCGCAGGCGCCGAUCAUUCUUUCCCCACCCUUUCAUCUCCUGGAGAGGGGAGAGCGAGAGCGCAAAGAACCCAGGGAAACUCUUAUAGGAAAACUAAGAGAUAACGUGCGGGAGAAGGCGGGGCUUCCUCCUCCGAAGGCUCGCAGGCAGAGCGCCACGCCUCCAGUGUUGGCGCCCCGCCUCGCCCUUUUCCUUUGGAAUAUCUUUGCUCUCUGGAUCCUUCUGGCAGUUCGGGUGGCUUUGUAAAGAAUCUCUUCCCGGGAAGGUGGGAAGACAGAGGACCACUCUGACUCGAACCAGAAGGCACAGGGCAUGAUGGGGCUGGUGCGGCGGACACAGCUCCGCUCUUCCGAGACCUGAACCUGGGCACCUCCUCAUGGCUCAACUCUUUCCGGGAGCUGGGAAGGCACAGGUCUCACAGGAGCUCAAUGCUCAUGGCAGGCCUUGUGUAGAAGUGAUGGGACAUUGAGACGAGGCCAUUAAGCAGUUCUCCAUCCUGGCUACACAUUAAAAGUAUCUGGGAAUGUCUGCAGAGUCUGGAUUGGGGGAAAGGAAUUCCAAACUUUUGACGUGGUUCUCAAUGGCCCCAUUGCUCCUCCACAAGGGCCUCAAACAGGAAAAUGGCUAUACGUGUUCAGAGAAUGAAUAAAAGAAAGCAAGACGGAUAACUGGGUGACACCUGCUUCUGCUCCCGCAUAAUUAAUAUGGGAGUGCUGUGAGUGUGAAGAAAUGGACAUUCACAUACACUUGCAGUGGUGCAUUGGUGCCAUUUUUAUACAAGGUAAUGUGUAGGUUCCUCUCCUAAAUUUUUUGUCUUGAGAAAAAAUUCACAUACCUAAAAUUUACCAUUUUGAAGUGUGAGCCCAUGGGAAUGUGGCCCAUCCAGUCCUUCCAGAGUUCUACUGUGCUGGAGUAUAGACCCAGGGUGGCUAGAUUUCUGCAGAUCCUGUUAAGACGCAAAUUCUGACUUGGCAAGUGUGGGGUGGACCUGAAAGUCUGCAUCUAACAAGCUCUCAGGUGAUGCUGAUCACACUGGCCUGUGGAAUAUAUUUUCAAUACGAAGGCUAAUGGGGACCCCUGUCCCCUGAGAGGAUGACCCACCCAUCCCAGCAUUGACCUCUAUUGUAUCCUGUGUCCUGGCCUUGGGUUCUGUCAGUACCACAUAGAGAACCAGGAGUCCCAAACUCAGGGGAUUAUUUUCUCUUGGGACACAGAAAUCCAGCUGGGCACCAGGAUGUUCCCAGUGUCCUCAAAUGCUCUGGGAAUGCUGGAUUUACUCCUGGCAGGAAGAUCGCAGAGAUGACUCUGGGCAUGAGAAAGGGGCAAGCUGAGUGAUGACCAGUGAGGGUGCCCACCCUCUAUCUCCAGUGUCUCCAGCCUGGCCUCUGCUUUCAGGGAUAGACACUCAAUAUAGGGUGUCACAGGAGCUGCAAUUCUCGGGUGUGAAGGUAGAGGUUUCCCAUGUGUCCUGGGUGAGAGGACAGUGGUGGUGGGAGAUCAGGUGGCUGUGGGCUCCCUGAUCCUUGGGGGAAAGUUUCAGGGAGACCCCCCCACCCAAGCAUGUUGGUUGAGGUGUGGCUCAGAGCCUGUCUAUUUGCUCCCUGAUCAUCCUGGGGGCCCCUGUCCUCUGACUGGCUGACUUUCCUGUGGUCAUUCUGCCUUCCCCAUGGGUGGUACCAGGCAGGGAGUGGGGAGAUGCACACAGACCCCUGACAGAUCAGGGUGCUCUGAGGCCCUUAGAAGGAACGGAUAGGAAGGACCCAGAAGGGUCUUCCUGAGCAAGGGAUAGAAGUCAGGCUCCUUCUUCACCUCCUUAGCCAAAGUCAGGUUCAUGAGUUAAUUUUCUGUGUGUCCCAAUUUCGCCCCCCAAAGGGAAUGCUGCCAGUGUCAGGGGCUGCACCAAGGAUGCUGACCAGGCUCUAGAAGGUGUGCACUGGCACUGGGCCCUGGACAGACAUGAGUUCUGAUCUCCAGGCUGAAGGUCCUCUAAGCCUAGGUCCUGGUCACUGCUGGUUGCGAGGCUGCCCAACUCCAUCCCAGUGUAGGGUGAGCCCAGGGAAAGGACAGGCAUUGUCCAGUGGACUCCUAAUCCAGUGUCCUGUGCUGCCUGGUUGAUGUGCUGCCUCCGGAGAAGCUCUCUGUUCUGGUGGUUUCAAAGGAAGGGUGAGGGGUCUCUUGAGGCUUUCAAGAGAGAGUGAAGGGCUGGUCCCCAGAAUGACCUGUGUUUCCCCAAUCACAGCACUGGGGCAUGGCAUCCGAGUCAUCUGUGUCCCUGUCUGUCAUCUCCUCUAGGCCUUUCCACAGGGCCCAGGACCUAGAUCAGUUCCACAUGAAGACUCAGACAGGGGAUCCUGUGGGUUCCUCUGUUAGGAGAGGGGAGGCUCCAUGGGACCCUCAGCCCCUUUGACAUGGAAGCAAACACAGGUCCUGGUUCUCCUAUCCCAUCCUGCAUUGGAAGUUUCCCUUGUUCACUCUGCUGCCUUGGGCUGGUGAGAUGUCUUCAGGGGACUACAACUAGUGUCCCCACAGACUUGAGACCCUUGAGGUGAGAAGUCACCCCCUGAUUACUCUGAGGUCAGAGUGGGGCUCCCUCCUCCCCUUAGGGUAACUUUACCUGGGGUGGAGAAUCCAGAGUUUGUGUCAGGUCAGGUCUCUGUGAGAAGAGGAAGAACACAGGCUAUCAGCCCAGGCCGUCCAGGGAGAGAAGUCCCUCACAAGGUAGACAUGGGAAGGGGGUGGGAUUUUCUGGAUGAAUGGGGAUCGAACCCCUCACUGUUAGGAGGCCCCUGUCCUCCCUCCUGACUCAACAAGGGGUAAAGGCCUCUCCCCGGGAUAGCCACAGGCCUCCCAUGCUGAUGCCAAUACCCCUGUGUGUACAUGGAAUGUGCUGUGACCUCCAGGUGUCAUACAGGAGUGAAGGGCUUCCAUUGUGUGGUUUCCUCAACCAUUUGAGAAAUUUAUUUGACAUGUUUAUUAAGCAUCUGUUACUGGGUGCAGACAGGGAUGGCUGGAUACCUGGCCUGGCUUAGGUCUGCUCCUUACAGACAUUGUCGCUGGAGUGCAGGCUACUGUUCAGAGUCCCCACUUGGGCACAAGGAAGGGAUCCGAUGUCUCCAUGUCUCAUCAGGGAUUAAUUGUGGUGGCCUGCUCUCUGGAUCUGCCUCCUGCUCUCAUUUCCAGUUCCUGUCAAACCUCUGCCUCCCAUCCUGGCACUGCCUGAGGCCUCAGCACUGCCUCUCUGGCACUGGGGUCUGGACACUGUCAGGUACUGAGCUGACCAAACCCUCUGUCUCAUGUGACCCUCCUGGUGUUGGAGAGAAGGGCCAGGUGAUGGGAUCAGGGCUGCCUCCUGGGAAAGCACCUCCAAAUCUCGGUGUCUUUAUAAAUCCAUGGAGGCAAAAUGCAAGGUUAUAUGAGAAGAACUGCAUAAGUGCACCAUGACCCAGAGGGUCACUGGAACAGAAUUGUUGACUAGAAUCACAGGGUACAGCCUGCCAGGGGUGCCAGAAUCUUCUAAGAGCAGCUACUGUGUGCCAGGUAUUGUGCUGGGUGCUUGACACAAAGAUGCAUGCGGUCCUUACAACAACCUUAUGAGGCAGGUACUCUUAGUGUACCUAUUUCACAGAGGAGCAAAGCAAGGCUCACAGAUACUGUUACUUGCCCAUGUCACCCAGCACCCAGUGAGUACCUGGUACCAUAAGGAGCUAGAGUGACAUGUGUGCCUCUAGGGGCUCACUUGUCACCUUAUCCUACAAGGAAAACCCCACUGCUUAAUCGUCCACGUGCCUAAAAUUCAAAUCACUUUUAAUUGUUUUUGUGUAUAUUUGUUUGCAUCCAUUUAAAUACUGUAAAAUUAAAAACAAUUUAAAAUAAAACAUAUCCAAUUGGAAUAACUUUCAUGUGUUAGUUGUGCUUUAAAAUCU
Long non-coding RNA from Equus asinus (donkey), 4953 nucleotides. The record is from Ensembl. Lineage: Eukaryota; Metazoa; Chordata; Mammalia; Perissodactyla; Equidae.